UAGAGAUAAGUUAAUUCAUUUCUUUUUCUAGUUGCAGGUAAAAAAAAUUCAUUGAUGAUCUAAUAGAGUUUGUUUUGUUAAUUAUAGAUAUGUCAAAGAGAAAGUGUGAACAUAAUGUUUUGAAGUCAAUUCAGUCAACACAUACUUCAGAAGAUGCAUUCAUAUCACAAGCAAACAAGUCUAAAGUACCAUUAACAUCAUUUCUUCAAUCGAAACCUCGAGUAACAUGCUCAUUCUCAAACACAUCGCAACUAAAUCGAUUAGUUCAAGACACAACACAAAGGAAUCCAAAAUUUAGGCUGCUCCAUUAGUUCAGCCCGCAAUAAAUCAGGAAACAUCAAUUCAGCCUCCAGCACGUCAAGCACCAUCAAAAUUGACUUCGUCGUUUUAGUCUGUAGCACAGCAGGAUGCAAUAGAGCAAACAUCAUCCGAACAAGCUGAAGUACAGCAAACACCAUCAGUUCAUGUUGCAACAUUACAAACACAAUUGCAAUAGGCUCCAUCAUUUCAGCCGGUAGCAGAACAACCACCGCCCAAAAAGUAUACUGAUCGCAAGUCAAGCAGAUAUUGGACGGUAGAUGCAAUAGAUUCAAAUGGGGCUGUGAAAAGACGACAUCUGAAGGUUAGUCACAUGUUAAAUUUAUCCUGUGAUGAACGUGUCAUUGUUGAAUUUGAUGACGUUGCACCAGUUGGAGAAGCACAAGGUCUUCUUGCAGGUUUUA
Capsicum annuum is the source of this 722-nucleotide long non-coding RNA. RefSeq lists it as uncharacterized. The transcript is spliced from 3 exons. NCBI's taxonomy places the organism in Eukaryota, Viridiplantae, Streptophyta, Magnoliopsida, Solanales, Solanaceae. The record is from RefSeq and is a predicted model, not a curated record.